ACUCUCUUAAUUCUGCAUAGUCAUACUUGGCUUUAUCUGUGUGACUUUCAUAAUGGGGAGAGAGAAAAAUGAUCUCCUUGGGACCUCAGAUUGGCCUUAUGGUGGCCUCUCUUUCCUGGACAACUGGU
This 128-nucleotide small nucleolar RNA is filed under the name Microcebus murinus (gray mouse lemur). RNAcentral's name for it is "Small nucleolar RNA SNORA64/SNORA10 family (ENSMICG00000019907.3)". It matches the Rfam family "Small nucleolar RNA SNORA64/SNORA10 family". From Rfam's summary of the family: This family belongs to the H/ACA class of small nucleolar RNAs (snoRNAs) which act as guides in the the modification of uridines to pseudouridines. The record is from Rfam by way of RNAcentral. Lineage: Eukaryota; Metazoa; Chordata; Mammalia; Primates; Cheirogaleidae.